Molecule: transfer RNA, 71 nt
Filed under: Loxodonta africana (African savanna elephant)
Lineage: Eukaryota; Metazoa; Chordata; Mammalia; Proboscidea; Elephantidae
Rfam family: tRNA
About the family: Transfer RNA (tRNA) molecules are approximately 80 nucleotides in length. Their secondary structure includes four short double-helical elements and three loops (D, anti-codon, and T loops).
Source: Rfam by way of RNAcentral
ACAUUGGUGGUUCAGUGGUAGAAUUCUCACCUUCCACAUGGGACACUGGGGUACAAUUCCCACCCAGUGCA